GAGUUGCUUACAAAGAUAAAGAGCCAGUUCACUGGCUCUUCAAAGAUCUAUGCCACCCAGGUGUUAGAGCAACUGGUGACAGAACGCUACACAGGUGGUAGUCAUGGAAUAAGAGAGCACAUCCUCAGGAUGAGUAAUAUGGCAGCAAAGCUCAAGCCCAUGGAUGCGGAUCUGGAGAUCAAACCAGCACUCCUGGUCCACCUGGUCAUGGCUUCACUGCCACAGGAGUUUGCAACUUUUGUUGUAAACUAUAAUAUGUCACUUGGAACAUGGGACAUUGAAAAGACAAUAGCAAUGUGUGUCCAAGAAGAGGACAGACUCAAAGCCGCACAUGGUGGUUCAAUCAACUAUGUGAAGGAUUGGAAGAAAAAGAACUACAAUCAAAACAACAAAAGUUCUCCUUCAAAGAAUGGAAAAGCCCCC
RNAcentral lists this ribosomal RNA (423 nucleotides) under Triticum aestivum (bread wheat). RNAcentral's name for it is "partial small subunit ribosomal RNA". The record is from RNAcentral. Lineage: Eukaryota; Viridiplantae; Streptophyta; Magnoliopsida; Poales; Poaceae.